AGAGUUCUCUUUUCUUUGUGAAGGGCAGGGCGCCCUGGAAUGGGUUCGCCCCGAGAUAGGGGCCCGCGCCCUGGAAAGCGUCGCGGUUCUGGCGGCGUCCGGUGAACUCUCGCUGGCCCUUGAAAAUCCGGGGGAGAGGGUGUAAGUCUCGUACCAGGCCGUACCCAUAUCCGCAGCAGGUCUCCAAGGUGAACAGCCUCUGGCGUGUUGGAUCAA
This 216-nucleotide ribosomal RNA is filed under the name Atherinomorus stipes (hardhead silverside). RNAcentral describes it as "partial 28S ribosomal RNA". It matches the Rfam family "Eukaryotic large subunit ribosomal RNA", at positions 1686 to 1898 of the family's 3401-position model. Lineage: Eukaryota; Metazoa; Chordata; Actinopteri; Atheriniformes; Atherinidae. The record is from RNAcentral.